This 620-nucleotide ribosomal RNA is filed under the name uncultured bacterium. RNAcentral's name for it is "bacterial SSU rRNA". It matches the Rfam family "Bacterial small subunit ribosomal RNA", at positions 8 to 611 of the family's 1533-position model. The record is from RNAcentral.
AGGGUUUGAUCAUGGCUCAGGACGAACGCUGGCGGCGUGCUUAACACAUGCAAGUCAAGGAGAACGGAUCCUUCGGGAUACUAUUAAACUGGCGAACGGGUGAGUAACGCGUAGGCAACCUGCCUUGGAGAUUGGGAUAACCCCGGGAAACCGGAGCUAAUACCAAAUAAUGCAGCGGAUCCUUCGGGAUAUGUUGUUAAAGUGGGCUUCGGCUCACACUUCAAGAUGGGCCUGCGUCCGAUUAGCUUGUUGGUGAGGUAAUGGCUCACCAAGGCGAUGAUCGGUAGCUGGUCUGAGAGGAUGAUCAGCCACACUGGGAUUGAGAUACGGCCCAGACUCCUACGGGAGGCAGCAGUGGGGAAUUUUGCGCAAUGGACGAAAGUCUGACGCAGCAACGCCGCGUGAUCGAUGAAGCUUCUAGGAGUGUAAAGAUCUGUCGUGAGGGAAGAAAAAUCUGGAUGUAAAUAAUGUUCAGACGUGACGGUACCUCACAAGAAAGCACCGGCUAACUUCGUGCCAGCAGCCGCGGUAAUACGAGGGGUGCUAGCGUUGUCCGGAAUUACUGGGCGUAAAGGGUUCGUAGGCGUCUUGCCAAGUUGAUCGUUAAAGCCACCGGCUUA